Molecule: long non-coding RNA, 203 nt
Filed under: Ornithorhynchus anatinus (platypus)
Lineage: Eukaryota; Metazoa; Chordata; Mammalia; Monotremata; Ornithorhynchidae
Description: lncRNA (ENSOANG00000043751.1)
Source: RNAcentral
GCAACAGGAGAUGAUAAUGGAGAGCCUUGCUUGGUGUUCUUUCCUGGCUACUUGGUGCUCUCUGGGCCACCAGAAAGACAAAUCUUACAGUCUACAGGAGGAACUUACAAAGAAGGUUCCCUCAGCAGUGCUUUUUCAACCCUACGGAUUCAUCCUUUCUCCAAGAAAACAGUGUUGCCAAGCGGAACGAGCGCAGACCUGGG